Meriones unguiculatus (Mongolian gerbil) is the source of this 11320-nucleotide long non-coding RNA. RefSeq lists it as uncharacterized. Lineage: Eukaryota; Metazoa; Chordata; Mammalia; Rodentia; Muridae. The record is from RefSeq and is a predicted model, not a curated record. The transcript has 2 exons.
UCUGCAGGCAGUUUGGGACCAGGAGUUCCAAACUUACAGGUGCUAACCCAUCAGGUCUUGAAAAGUUGUGAACUGUUUGUUUUUGUUUUUUGUUUUCAUUUUAUUUUGUUGUUGUUGUUUUUUUGAGACAGGGUUUCUUUGGUAGCCUUGGCUGUCCUAGACUUGCUUUGUAUGCCAGGCUGGCUUCGAACUCACAGAGAUCCACCUGCCUCUACCUCCCCAAGUGCUGGGGUUACUGGCAGGUGCUAUGGCCCCCAGCGUAAUCUGUUAAGUUUUUUAAUCUACUUUAGGAGGUCAAGCUACAUGGUGUCAUAAACUGUCAAAAUGUAAAGUAGUUUUCAAAAGAUCAAGGACUGCAUGAAUACUAAAUACUCAGGAUACUUUUGACCCAGGUUCAUUUCUGUUGCUGGGAAAAAACAUCCUGAAAAAAAAAGUAGCAUGGGAGGAAGGAUUAUUUGAUUUACAGUUACAAGUAACAGUUCAUCAUUUUGUGCAGGUCAAGGCAAGGACUCCAGUCACAUCACACCCAUAAUCAAGAGCAAAGAGGGAAAAUAUGCGUCUUUGCUUGCUUGCUUGCUCUUAGCUAACUUUCUCUUUUUUUGUACUGUUCAUGAUCCCUGCCUGGGGAAUGGUGAAGCCAACAUGGGAUGGGACUUGCUACAUCAAUCAACAAUGUUGCCUUCUUCCAUAGGAACACCCAUAACCCAACCUGAUCUGGAAAGACUCUUUUCUGAGGUGACUUCCAAGAGGAACUGGGGACAUUCUGAAGAGGGAGAUUCAGAGGAGAUUUUCCUGCUGGCCUAAGAAAAGGUGGAGCCCUUGUAAGCUGUCUGUGAAGAGGGGCAACCUCAUAGCUUCUUCCGCAUGAGCUGAAGCUCCUGCCUGUGACCACAAGAAACUAAAUUCUGCCAAGAACACAAACGUGAUCAGAGAGAAUCAUAGCCUGGCCAAAACCCAACUACUGUCCUGGAGACUCUGGGCAGAGGAUUCAUUCGAGCUGCUUGUGGACUUCCGCCCACUUCAGGGAAACUGAGGUACACAAUGUACCUUAUUUGUGCCUUGCUUUGCAGCUAUAGCAGCAUUUACUAUCUUUAAUGUUUGAAAAUCAUUGCUUUCACUUGUAGAAAAUUUCAAGGAUCUUAGAACACUUUAGCUCUCAAUGCCUUACUGUCUAGACCAGUGGUUCUCAUGACCCCUUUGAUGACCCUUUCACAAGGGUCACCUAAGACCACGGGAAAACACAUUUAUAUUGUGAUUCAUAACAGUAGCAAAAUUACGGUUAUGAAGUAGCAAUGAAAAUAAUUUUGUGGUUGGGGGUCACCACACCAUGAAGAACUGUAUUAAAGGGUCACAGCUUUAGGAAGGGUGAGAACCACUGAUUUAGUUAUAGCUAGUUUGAUAUUCUUACCCACAAAACAAACAUUACUGCCGUGAUUUUGCUUAGUAAAUUUGGUAAGAUUUAACCACAUUCACCAUAUUGCUUAUCAUUCCUCCUUUCCACCCUCUGAGUUUUGAAUAUUUUUCGUUCUUAUUCCCAUCAUUUUGAUUUUAUUUCUUUUUAAUUUAAAUUUAUUUUUAUUAUUUUAUGCAUUGCCCGUAGGUGUGUCUGCCUAUUGUCUAGGGAAACCAGAAGAGGGUGUGAGAUCCCCUGACACUGUAGUAGCAAAAGUAUGUGAACCACCAGGUGAGGGCUCAGAGCUGAACGCAGGUCCUCCGGAAGAGCAACGGGCGCUCUUAAUCACAGAGCCAUCGUUCCAUCCUCUAUUUAAAUAUUAUUAUUAUUAUUGCACGUGCCACUGUGCGCUGUGGAGAUCAAGGGCAACUUUGUGAAGUUGGUUCUCUCCUUCCAUCUCCAUGUGGGUCUGGGGAUCAAAGUGAGGUCACCAGGUUUGUAUGGCAAGCACUUGGCCAGCUGAGCCUUCUCACUCAGCUGUCAUCUUGUUUUUUAGUAACAGCAUUGUUAAAGUGGCUGGCAGUACAAUUUCUUGGAGGUUGAAUAAUGGGUCCUCCUGAAGCAGAGGCCAGCCAGUUUCCCUAUAUCAUUGCCCAGAGCCUCGAGGAGGCAAGACCACGGUGUCCGUCUUCUGGCUCUGGCCAGACCAGGGCAGAUGGCACUGGAGGUCCUCAGACUGUCUGUUCCUGAUCUCUUCUGGAAUAUUUGUAGCAAAAACAGGGAGAGGGAGCCGGAGGCUGACUGCCGCCCUCUGAGUUAGCUGUGAACUUGGAAGAGAAGGGGGGCUGCUGUCCGACUCCACUGCCUCCUCAGCGGAGAAAAAGCGGCCGGCUUUGUUUGUUUUCUCUUCUCUUCUGCAGCGCACUCUCAUGCUGUGACCUCCCUCAAGUCUUGGUUCGGAGGGUGGCUGUUUCCACAACUUUGCAGAACAAACAAGCAACAGGAAAACCAAGUCAACCUUUACAAGUUUCAAAACCGCUCUGUAUAAUUCCUGCCCCGACAAAAGACUCAAAGAUUAGGUUAUUGAGGAUCAAGAGCUAUAAUUAGGGGCCAGCAAGGUGCCUCAAGGGGUAAAUGCACUGCCAAGCCUGGCUGAGUUUGGUCCCCAGAACCCAUAAAUGGCUGGAAGGAGAAAACUGACUCCUACAAGUUUUUUUCUGACUUCCACACAUGUGUUGUAACACAAGUAUGCUCAAACACACACACAUUCAUUCACACACAUAUACUCACACACACACAUUCACUCACACAGAGACACAGACAUUUGCACACACUCAAACACACACACACACAUAUACUCAUACAUACACUCACAUACACAGUCACACACACACACAAAUGAAUUUAAUAAAAUACAUUUUAAAGAGCAAAAAUUAAUACCAUGAAUAUCUUAUUUCAGGAGAAUAUAUGAAUUUCCCUUUUGGUAAUAGUCUGCUGGGUUUGUCAGAACAGCACGCCACAGAUUGGGUGGCUUAAAUGACAGAAGUGAACUUUCUCAUGCUCUGAAGCCAGAUCAAGGAAUCCCAGAUCAAGGUGCCUGCAGGGGCGGUUUCUGGAGAGGUCUCGCCUCCCGUGCUGCAGACGAGGGGCUACUGUUUGGGGCCUGUGAGUUGUGUAAUGAUUAAUCUUGCUUGCCAAGAGUAAUGCGGAAUCAGGCUGGAAACAUCCACCUCCGGGUGCUUCUGCGGAGGAAGUUUCCAGCAAUGUUUAACAGAGACGUGGGGGCCCACCGCGCAUUUGAGCCUGUGACCUGAGGCCACAGUCUGGAUAAAAAGGGAAGGGCGGUGUUCACUCAGAUCCAGUGUGCCACGCGAGGUACUGUGUGUGUGUCCACUGCCGUUUCCAUCCGGGCGGCCUAGAAUUGUUGCUCCUUGAGCACUCUGGGAAGUGGAAACGGUAGGGAGCCCAUCUGAGCCGUGGGACUGCUGGGACUUCAUGUCGUCGUGAGGUUACAAGCAGUCCACACAGCGUAGACAAGCUUCUCCACUUCUUUGUGCGAUGUGGUUCACUGCUCCUCCAAAAACUCUCAUUCUUCCAAAAGUUCUCUGCCUGGUUGCCUGCUUCCUGGCACAAACCUGGAUCACUGCUGGGAAACAAAAGUUAAAUGGCGAGCUCACCCUCGCCUAGGCAUGGGGGCUUCCUACCGCGUGGAAAUAAACCCUCUUGCAUGCAGGGCCCUGCUUCUGGCCUGUCACUGGAGUAGGCUCGUUGCCCCUCACAGUGUCCUCAGUGUGACACACUCACAGAAUGUUGCAGACAUCACCAGGGAGCUGAACAACCCUAGUUACCCCUCUGCCACACACACACAGGCAAGGAGACUGCCAGGAAAGCUGGUUUGUUGUGUUGCUGUUGUAGAACUGUGUGGCAUUUGGAUUAUUUUAGUUUCAUUCUGUGACAAAAACACCCUGGCCAAAAGCAGUGUAGGGAUGAGAAGGGCCUGCUCGGCUUACACUUACAGGCAGAAGUCGCUCCUGCAGGGAGGAGCCAUGGAGGAGUGCUGCUUCCUGGCUCAUUCCCUGGCUUUUCUUUGGCUUGUACUUAGCUGGCCCAGAACUUCUGCUUAAGGAAUAGUGCCUUGCACCGUGGACUCUUCCCUCCCACGUCAAUUAUCAAUCAAGACAACCCUUCACAAACAUAGUCACAGCCGGGGGCCUGGUGCCUGAGGAGGCCAGGAGAGGGUGCUGGGUUCCCUGGGUCUGGAGUUACAGAUGGCUAUGAGUUGCCAUGUAAGUGCUGGGAAUUGAACCUGCGUCCUUUGGAAGAGCAGCCAGUGCUCUUAACAACCGAGCCAUUUUCCCAGCCAGAGUGAUGUAUAUAAUUUUAUGAGCUGCUAAUUUAGAGAUUUUGAGCCUUUGCAUUUGUAUUGUUGCUGUGUUUGUAUUCUUUUGGAGAUUCUCAGGACAUUCAUGAAGACAUCUGAAAAAGGAAAAGGCAUUCCCAAGACAGCCAUGUGUUUUGGGAGACCUGUAACCAAGUCAGCCAAAAACAUCGAGUCGAGUGUAAUGAAAUCCUGUGUGUUUCUGUGACUGGGUUCAAACAAGUAUCUGCCUGCUCUUAAGGACUCAACGGGACCCAAAGCAAUGUUAAGUAAGAUGAACUGUAUGAACCUGAACUAUAAAAUCUGCAGAGGAAGCUAAAUGUUGAACCGCUUAACAUUCAGGACGUAGAACCUCCGUCACAUUCUAUAAGCCCUUGAGAAAAUGCCCUUCCCGGACAGCUAAACUUAAAAAUGCCACAGCCACACUUCAUGGGCGUGGACCUGAUAAAGAUGUUAGGUGACUCAGCCUCACAGGAGCCAGAGACAGGGCGGGGCCAUCUGGGUCUCCAGUCCAGUGGCUCCUUCCUGUGCAUGGCCUCUGCCAAGAAAUGAGUCAGUCAGCAAUCUGACGAGAGAAACAUCAUUUUACUUAUUUGCUUUUCUAAUUUUCAUGGGCAUGUGGGGGUCAGAGAUAACCUACUGGAAUAAGUACUCUCCUUCAACCGUGUGGAUUCCCAGGGAUCAAGCUCAAAUCAUCAGGCUUGGCAGCAAGAAUCUUUACCCACUGAACUGUCUUGCCAGCCAAGAUGAUAAUUUUAGGGGCUACUUGGAGUUCUGUCUACUACAGUGAAAAAAAUAUUUUUCUUUCUUUCUUUCUCUGGCUUGUUUAUUUGUUUGUUUUUUGAGAUAGGGUUUCUCUGUGUAGCCCUGACUGUGUUAGAACUUGAUCUGGCUGUCUUAGACUCACUUUGUAGACCAGGCUGGCCUCAAGCUCACAUAGAUCCACCAGCCUCUGCCUCCUAAGUACUGGGAUCAAAGGGGUACACCAUCACCACUCAACAACUACAGUAAAUACUUACAAACUAAAAUUAGCUGGGCAAUAGUGGUGACACUUGCCUUUAAUCCUAGCACUUGGGAGGCAAAGGCAGGCAAAGGCCAGCCUGCUCUACAGAAUGAGUUCCAGGACAGCCAGGGCUACACAGAGAAACCCUGUCUCAAAAACAAAACAAAACAAAAACAAAAACAAACAAACAGAAAACUAGAAUUAAAUUAUUUAAUCUCCAAACUGGCUGAAGUUUUAGAAAAAAGAAGAAAAUUGUAAUGUUUAGGAAAAAGUAAGGUUAAUACUCUGAAAUAAGUAGAUAAAGAAGUCAAGCAGAAAUAUAAAAUGAUAGACAUAUGCCACAAACCACAGUUACUUUUAAAACAAAACAAAAAUGUCCUCAAAUGUACACAAAGACUAUCAAAGUGCAUUUCAAAAAAUGGUUCAAAUUCUCACUUUUGACAAAAGACACAUCUAAUGAAAAGGACAUUGAAAGUUGAAAGUAAGUCAGGCAAGUAACAUUAAUCAAACAGCAAAGAAAACUGAAUACAUUUAACCCUGUCUCCCAGUCUACACUCUUGGGUAUAUUUACAUGGCAGAUAAACUUGACAAUGUUUAUUAAGAUAUAAACAAGAGUAUUCAUAACAUCAUUAUUCAUAAUAGAAAGAACCUGAAAAGGUUCUUGAAUAUUCAUUAACAAUAUGAAUAUAUUCUGAAGUAAUAGUCUAAAGUAAAGAUGAAGAAACAAAGUCUGUGUGCAAUAUUAGGUUUACUCAAAAUGCAGCCCUGUUUUGCUGUUAUGAGGCAAGGUCCUGCUAUGUAGCUCAGGUAACCUUAAGUUCUCUCAGCAACUACAGUAAAUACUUACCUCAGCCUUCCAAUUGCUGAGGUUGUAGGUAUACUUGACUUGCAAGUUUGAAUUGAAAAAGGAAUUGCAGGUGUGUGUGUUUGUCCUACUUUGAUUUUCUGCUGUUGUGAUAAAACACUGAUCAAUAGCAAGUUGGGGGGGGUUAUUUCACUUUGUAGUCCAUCAUUAAGGAAAGCCAGGGAAGGCGUUCCAGGCAGGCUCUUGGAGGCAAGAACUGAAGCAGAGACCUUGGAGGAUACUUCUUACUGGCUUGAGCCACUACCUUUUUUAUACAGCCUUGGAAUGCUUGCCCAUGGAUGGCAUUACCCACAGUGUGUUGGGCCUUCCUACCCCAAUUAGUAACUAAGAACCACCCCCCCCCAGACAUCCCCACAGGCCAGCCUGACAGAGGAAAUUCCUCAGUUGAGGUUCCCUCUCCCCAGGUGACUCUAGUUUGUGUGAAGUUGACAAAAACUAACUAGCAUAAUAUUUAUAUAAAUUUUUAAAAAACAAUGAAAAUAAGUAAUAUAUUAUUUAAGGACUUGUUUUAACUAUCUGGGCAUGUUUAGUGUCAGCACUUGGGAGACAGAGACAGGUGGAUCUCUGUGAGUUUGAAGCCAGCCUGGGCUACAUACUGAGUUUCAUGACAGCCAUAGCUACGUAAUAGAGGGACUAUCAAAAAAACAAACAAAACAAACAAAAACCAAGGAGAAGGGAGAAAAAGAAAAACUAAAACUUUAGGGAAGGAAUGUUAAACAGCGGCUUCAGGCUAGUGGUGAGGUAUCUGGGAGAAUGGGAGGGAUGCAGGCAUGGAAGGGCAAGUAGAGGUUGGUGGUGGCAUUAGUAAUGCUCUGUUUCUUUUUUUUUCCCGACUGAUAUAUAUUUUUACACACACUCUGUUGUUUAGAUAAGAAAUGUCCCCAUAGGCUUAUGUAGUUGGAUAGUUGGUUUCCUGUAGAGGAAUUUUAAUCUAGCAACAAGGCAUCCAAAGAUCUCCCAUGCCUGUGCAAUCUGGCUGGAAUGCAGAUAUGCCGUUAGUACACAUCCCUAAUCCCUACAGUGAAGGCAAAGUUAGUUUGUAUAAGGAAACACUGGUGUUUGAAAGUGAUGUCUAAUUGAGGGGCAGAAAAAGUGACAAAUCAGAGAAAGAUUUGACAGAAUGAGUCAGAGAUAGGAUUUGCCCAACUCACACGAGAACAGAGAGGGAAGAGUGGUGACUUAAGAGAGCAGUGUGAGAGAGAGUGGGGAGGCAGUUUUACUGGGACAGUUUUACAGAGACAGGUUGUAGAGAGAACAAGCUAGGCACAGGUGAAAACAGACAAACCAAAGAAUGAGAAGGAACCAGAAGAUUAGAACAGAUUGCUAGAGUUAGUUUGAGGUCGAGCAGAGCAAUUCAAGGAGAAGCUGAGAGAAACCAGUUUGAAUCAGUCAGCUAGGAGAGGAGCUUGAGCCAAAACAGCUGAGUUGAACCAGUCAGCCAAAGUUCAGAAAGGUCUGAAAGGUUGAUUAUUCAGCAGUAAAUCUCAGAAGGUGAAAACAUCUUAGGCCUAGAUUAGAUUGUAUGGAGGCUAGAAACUUUCAGGUUAGCAGGCAGAGGCAGUAAGCCCCUGAGACAACCACAAUCUGGCGAAUGAAAGUUAUUUCUACAGUCUCCAGGUCUAUGGGCCCUUUAGGAGAUGCAACCAUGCUGCAGAAGUCUUCACUGAGGGUGGGCUUUGAGGGUUUAUAGCCUUGCCCUGCUUCCUGCUUAUUUUCUCAGCUUCCUGUUGAGAAAUAAGCUUCCUGCUUAUUGUAUGGCUUGACUCUGAUGACAUUUCACUUCCUCCUGGAUGAAAGAUGUGGUCAGGCAGUUUCCUGCUCCUGCUGCCUGCUAUGCAAUCCCUUUGUUAUGAGCUUUAACCCUCUGGAACUGUCAGCCAAAAUAAACUCUUCCUUCUGUUAGUUGCUCUUUGUCGUGGUAUUUUAUCACAGCAACAGAAGAAUAGCUACACAACACACACACUUAUAAUUUAGGAUCAUUUAUGUUUUUUAGUGAAAUUUUCCAUUCUUAAAAUGUGUCUACACAUCUACAAUUUUCUUUUAUAUAUGACCUUUUUGGAAGAGGAGGGUAUGCAGAUAGGAAUUCUUGACAUAGUUCCAGUCUCUUUUAAGAUUUUGUCUUUGAGACUGUUUCCUUGUGCAGCCCUUGCUGUCCUAGAAUUCAUUGUAUAGACCAAGCUGGCUUUGAACCCUCAGAGAUCUGUCUGCCUCUGCCUUCUGAGUGCUAGGAUUAAAGGUGUUUACCACCAUGACUAGCAACCAUUUUUUUUUUAACUUUUUGUUACAAAAUCCCUAAACACAGACAAAAUAAGACAAAACAAAGCAAAAAACUCUUGUAAACAAACCUCUCCCGAGGUAACCAUUAUUAUCAAUUUCACUAGGCUUUUGUGUACCUAUAUUUGCAGAAACAUAGACUUUAUUUUUCUGGGAGGUAUUAGUUAACACACGUGGUAGCUUUGUUUACACUUUACAAUUUCUUUUUCUUCUUAAUAAUACCUUCUAGCAAGCUCUCCUACAUAAGUACUGGGCACCAACCUGACUGUCUUUUAGCCAUUUCACAGUAUGAUGUGACUGGGAAAAUUGUUUUCCUUGACACCUCCCGUCAGGCAAAUGUGAGAUCAUGCAAUAGUAGCAAAGUUAGAUACUUUGUAGCUUGUCAUAAAAACAAACAAACAAACAAACAAACAAACCUUUAUUUUUGUGUUCAUGCAGCCUGUUUCUUGUGAGAUGACUGGGCACUCUGAAGGUUCUUCUAGCCCCCAGGACUCAGCCGGACCCAAUGACCACUACAACAAACAUUACUAGCUGCUGUGACAUAUCGGGAAGAGCUAACUUCUGGCAAUUAAGUGUCCUCCCCUUCCUCUCCCCUUCCGUUCACACAGCUCACUGGCUAAUUUAAGCCCUUGGAGGUAGGUAGGAAGCAGAUUUCUGCGGCAUCUAGAGGGAACAAACCAGGUCUGUUUGGGUAAUAGCACUAAUGACUUCCUUACCACGUAGGUAAUAUGAUGCCUUUUUCUUCUUUCUUUUUAAGAAGACUUUGUGAUUAAUUACACAUACAUGUACAUGGAUAAGUACAUGCUGGUGCAGGGGUCUGUGGAGACCUGAAGAGAGUAUCAAAUCUUUGAGUGCCUGUAAUUGAGCUUGGAUCCUUUGGAAGAAGAGCCAGUGCUCUUAACCCCCUGAGCCAUCUCUCCAGCUCAGUCUGCUCUUGUCAUUGUGCUUUCAUAGGUUUAGAACUCUCUCUCUGCUGUUUUACUCCACCUUACCCCAUGGUAUGUCUGGUUCUCAAAUGUUCAGAAGAAGUUUGUCAACACUAAUGACUGAAAAGUUUCCUGUCUUGUUAAGAAUUCUAUGCGAUGGGCUAGGGAUGCAGUUGGCAGAGUGUCUACUGAAUGCACAAAGUCCUGGGUGUGCUCUCAAACACAGCACAAACCGGGUGAGGCGGUACAUGCCUUCAGUCCCAGCACUGAAUAGAUGGAGGCAGGAAAAUCAAAUGUUUGAGGUCAUUUUCAGCUCCAUAGGAAGUUCCAGCCAGCCUGGGACACAUGAGACCCUGUCUCAAAAACUUGAAUUCUUCUUAAAACCUCCUUCAUUCUCUCAGUAACUGGCAACAUCAUCUCCCUGCUGUUUAGAUAAAAAUCAAAACAAACACAAGCUCUGUCUCAAGCCUCUGUCUUUCACCCCCAUCCAGCAAGUCCCCAUGGGCUCCUCCCAAUGUAUGGCUUGACUCUGAUGACAUUUCACUUUCUCCUGCCUCGUCUGCAGUUGCCACCACCUCCAACUAGGACAACCUUGAGAGUCCCUAGCCUCCCCGCCUCCACCUUGCCUACUCCCUUACUCCCUUCUUGCUGCAUGGCAGCCAGCAUAGGACUCAGAAGAUGUGGUUUCCCUGCUCACAACGUCCAGUGGCUUCCCAGAAGCAUCUAGAAUCAACUCCGAGCUCCUCCCUGUGGCCUACAGUUCUUGUCCAACUGACCUUCCUAAUAAUGCCUUCGCAUCUUCCCCAGAAUUCCCCUUUUUGACCACAGCCCUGCUCUUAUCUUAGCUGGCUGGGAUCAUUGCAGCAUUUAGAGCCUUUGCUCUCACUUCUGUUGUCUGUCAUAAGCCACUUUUUGUGAUACCUCCUCUGUGAGGCUCUCUCAUCAGCCUAGUCACCGGAGAGUCCCGUCUCCUGCCUGCUCUUUUUCGUCAACCAUCUUCCCCCUCAGCACUUUCCAUGAUCCGCUAGGAUAUGGUUUGUGUAUUUCCUCUCCUGCCUCCUGCUUGCCUGUGACAGGCGAUGAUCCCACAUCUCCAGAGCUUGGUAACUGGUAUGAGUAAAUGCUCUAUAAAUAUUUGCAACCAAUUAUGUUCUUAUUAGGACUGACUUUAACUCAUAAAUUAGCAGUGAACUGGUAUUUUUUUUUUGCCAUGCUUUACCUCUUCCUGUAUUCAGUUAUUUUUAAGAAUAGCUAUAAAGAUGUGUUAUUUUCUUCAUUCAGAUUCUCUGCAUGUGUUGGUGAGAAAAUGUCUACGUAAUUUAGUUAUUUUCACUACUCUGGCUGGGAGUCUUUCUCUGUUAUCAUUGGCUGAGAGGAACACUACUUCCUAUACUGAUGGGUGUGGCUGGCUGUAAUGCAAGGUCCUGGUCUGUCAUCCUAAUCUCUGGCCUUCCUAGACUGACAUGCCAUCCGUAGUUUUUUUAUAGUCCCUUGGACACAGGACUCUUUGAUGAGUCCCUUACAUUUCGGGGCUCAGUGGGUAUUAUCAAAUUUAAUGUAAAUAGUAUACUAAUGACAUUUUAAUUUAACUUUUGUUUAUUUGGGCCUGGAGAAGUGACUCAGCAGAUAAAAGCAUGCACUAUUCUUCCAGAGGACCCAGGUUUGGUUCCUCGCCAAACCAUCUGUAACUCCAGCUCUCGGGAUCUGACCUCUCUGCCUUCCUGCAUUCAUGUGCACCCCUCCCCCCCCACACAGACAUGUACACACACGCAACAUUGAAAGUAAAAUAAGCUGGGAGGUGGUGGAAUAGGCUUUUAAUCCCAGCGCUUGGGUGGCAGAGGCAGGCUGACCUCUGAGUUGGAGGCUAGACUUGCCUACAGAGUGAGUUCCAGAACAGCCUGGGCUACACAGAAAAAAUUGAAAAUGAAAAUGUCUUGUAAAAUGAAACAAAACAAAAUGUGAAAUAAAUCUUUAAAAUUUG